AGCUUAACACAUGCAAGUCGAGCGGGGAAGGGUAGCUUGCUACCUAACCUAGCGGCGGACGGGUGAGUAAUGCUUAGGAAUCUGCCAUUUAGUGGGGGACAACAUUCCGAAAGGAAUGCUAAUACCGCAUACGUCCUACGGGAGAAAGCAGGGGAUCUUCGGACCUUGCGCUAAAUGAUGAGCCUAAGUCGGAUUAGCUAGUUGGUGGGGUAAAGGCCUACCAAGGCGACGAUCUGUAGCGGGUCUGAGAGGAUGAUCCGCCACACUGGGACUGAGACACGGCCCAGACUCCUACGGGAGGCAGCAGUGGGGAAUAUUGGACAAUGGGCGGAAGCCUGAUCCAGCCAUGCCGCGUGUGUGAAGAAGGCCUUUUGGUUGUAAAGCACUUUAAGCGAGGAGGAGGCUCUCCUAGUUAAUACCUAGGAUGAGUGGACGUUACUCGCAGAAUAAGCACCGGCUAACUCUGUGCCAGCAGCCGCGGUAUACAGAGGGUGCGAGCGUUAAUCGGAUUUACUGGGCGUAACAGCG
RNAcentral lists this ribosomal RNA (528 nucleotides) under uncultured bacterium. Its description in RNAcentral is "bacterial SSU rRNA". It matches the Rfam family "Bacterial small subunit ribosomal RNA", at positions 45 to 569 of the family's 1533-position model. The record is from RNAcentral.